CGUAGGUGGCAAGCGUUGUCCGGAGUUACUGGGUGUAAAGGGCGUGUAGGCGGGAAGAUAAGUCAGAUGUGAAAUUCCAUGGCUCAACUGUGGCGCUGCAUCUGAAACUAUCUUCUUGAGUGAUGGAGAGGAAAGCGGAAUUCCUAGUGUAGCGGUGAAAUGCGUAGAUAUUAGGAGGAACACCAGUGGCGAAGGCGGCUUUCUGGACAUUAACUGACGCUGAGGCGCGAAAGCGUGGGGAGCAAACAGGAUUAGAUACCCUGGUAGUCCACGCUGUAAACGAUGGAUACUAGGUGUAGGAGGUAUCGACCCCUUCUGUGCCGGAGUUAACACAAUAAGUAUCCCACCUGGGGAGUACGGCCGCAAGGUUG
This 371-nucleotide ribosomal RNA is filed under the name uncultured organism. RNAcentral describes it as "bacterial SSU rRNA". It matches the Rfam family "Bacterial small subunit ribosomal RNA", at positions 526 to 896 of the family's 1533-position model. The record is from RNAcentral.